This 574-nucleotide long non-coding RNA is filed under the name Canis lupus familiaris (dog). RNAcentral's name for it is "lncRNA (ENSCAFG00845003489.1)". Lineage: Eukaryota; Metazoa; Chordata; Mammalia; Carnivora; Canidae. The record is from RNAcentral.
ACAGAGCUGAACGGUUUUCUGCAGGACACCACUAAGCAGGAGAGAAUGACAAGCUGGAUGAUGAUAUAAAUAUUUGGAAUUAGGACAACAUACAAGAUUAGGGCUGGCCAGCCCCUGGACUAUGCCAUGUGUGCAUAUACAGGCUCCUAGGAUGAACAUCCUCAAAUCCCAACCUCUCUCCCAGAAGCUGUGUCUCUACAGAACUGUGUUGGCCGAGACUGCUCUCAACUGAAUUGGGCCCAGCUCAGAGAGGCAGCUGCUGGGUAUCAACUCAGCUUCCAGGCCAUUGUAGAAAACAUAGAACCAGCCAGGAAGCCAGACUCCUGUCCUGCCCCUGCAGCCCCUGGGCCAUCGCGAAGGCAACUAACUACUGUAUCCAGAGAAGUCCCUGCUAACUUGAUUGUGAUGCCUCCUUCACUGGAGACUCUAGCAGUUUGUUGACUCUUGGCAUUUACAGUUGUUUGCUUAUUGAACAGUGUCAGGUUUCUAUGGCUCCGAGUGCUGGCUCGCAUUACAGUCAAGUGGAAGCAGGAAAAUUCAGACAAAGCCUUUCAUGGAAAGACAGGCCUGCCAC